Molecule: long non-coding RNA, 2165 nt
Organism: Balaenoptera acutorostrata (minke whale)
Lineage: Eukaryota; Metazoa; Chordata; Mammalia; Artiodactyla; Balaenopteridae
Exons: 7
Source: RefSeq, a predicted model, not a curated record
CUGAGCUCUGCGGACUCCUUCAGUCCUUUUGGCAGCAGGACCCAGGUCAGUGAUACAACUAUGCUGAACAAUUGCUACUGCACAAUUGAAUAUCCUGCUCUAUACUUCCUGCAUCAUCUGUGGUCAUUCACACUUGUCACUUCCUUUAGUUCCUUUUCUUUAUUCUUCAAUAUCUAUGAACCUGCUGUGGUUGGGGGAGAGGAGGCUGCACAGAGACAAGACUGACAUCACAAGAGCCCUCGAAGCCUUCUUGGAAUCAUAUGGAAUCCUUAGGUGGUGAUUUGGAAAGUACUGCUAGAAGCAUCUCUCAUCACUUCUAAAAGGAGAGUGCUGAAGCCAGGAAACUGCUCCCUCAGUGAGAAUUAGAGGAAGAAACCACUUGAAUCACAUAUGAAACAUUCAGCCCAAUCAAAGCAACCUUCAAGAGCUGAAAAGUAACCACAGCUUUGAGAGUCCAUGUAAGUCAAUGGAGAAAAUAUUAAAGAGCUAAUGACCUUCUCUUGUUCCUUGGUUUCUUUGAGAAAGGACCUGAGGGUCACCACCAAGCAAUGAAGGAGGUGAGGACUAGUAUGUUUCUGGUAUAUUCCUGGGAACUGUGGAGAAAUGAAACAUGAAAGACAGGACAAAGUCCCUUCUCUCAAAGGGCUUUAUUCUAGAGCACACAGGAUAACAAUUGCAUGAAGCCAAGGACAGACGUCUCCCUACAUUCAUCAGGUGGUUAGCUCCUGAACUGAACCAAAUACCAAAGUCUCUGAUUAGAGGUAACUGGUUUCCUUCCUGACACUGAAAAUGUCAAAAGAUUCUUUGAAGUUUCUUGCUGGAACUUAUUUUUAAAUAUCCUCAGUCUUUUGUUCUAUAUUCAUAAGCAAAUUGAUUUCUUCACUCCUGAUUCUAUCUUACCAAUUUUUAAAUUAUUUAUAGUUACCUGUUACAAUUAACAAGAAAAUUGCACCUGAUCUAGUCAUAAUUUUACGGAAAACUUUGUUUCAUCAUUCUAUGAUCUUCUAACUAAAUUGCAAAAUUUAAAUUGGUCAUAAAAUGUUUUUUUAUCUUGAAGAAGUUUAGAAAGAAGAAGCAUGUAUGAAGAAGCUACUGAUACUUUAUCUUUUCUUUUCAGAUAGAGUGAUCAUGUAUAUACAAUUUUUAUCCUGUGCAACUCCAACGAUAAAAUUCCUAGGUUUGAUAGGGAUUUGGGAAGAAAUAGUGGAUAAGACUUACAGUCAUUUGGGAUUUAAUUAAGUCACAUUUUCAACAGGUGUUCUAAAUAAAUACAAUAACAGUAAUAAAUAUUAUUAGCAUGCAAGAUAGUGCCUGACUAGAGGUGGUAAACAUUAGAUAGGGUUUGAAUAAAGGACUAUAAGCUCAGUAUCACAGAACUUUAGAUAGGAAAGUUACCUAAAAAAUGUUCUAGUCCAAUUCCUGAGUUUUACAAGUGAGAAAAUUCAGUUUCAGGGGAAGAAACUGUUUCAGGUUAAACGGUCUGUUAGUGGCAUAGUUGAGGCAACAUUCUAUGUCUUCUACUUCUGAUUCACUACCUUUAGCCUCUGUUUUUUCUAAAUGUACCAACUGAAAAACAAAAGUGACUACAUGUAUUGAACUAUCCAUAUAAUUAUUAAUUUAAAUAGUACAAGUUAAACCUUGAUCUACACAGUUAUACCUGAACAUAUUUUGAAUAGUGCUGUGAAUUUUGUAGAUCAUGUUCAAUUAUUUAUCACUUACUCAAAACUUGUUUCUGUUGUACAAGCCAAGUUAUGACAAUAUAGAAAGUAGAAAAAGAAAUGAAGAACAUCCACAAUUUCUACCAUUACAGUACACACUAUGCAGUUUUUACUCCUAGUACUUAUUCAUGCUUACAUAUUUUCUGAAGUUGUAAUGAUGAGGUAAUAUGAUCUUUGUUAUGUUUUAUUUAAUUAACAUUAUAUCAUGACAUUUUCAUGUUAUUACAUAAUGUUCAUAAUGACUACUUUAGCAACUGCAUAGUAUUUCAUUGACUUGCUUUGAUAUUUAUUCAGCCAUUUCCCUCUUGUUGAACAAUUAAGUCACCUCCAAUGUAACUAUUAAUAACACUGCAGUGAAUUUCUUCAUUCACAUUGCUUGUGUAUGUUGUUUUUCUUUAAAUUAUUUUUCUGUGGGUAAAUUAUAAACUAUUGAAUUUUAACUGGAUA